This 1631-nucleotide ribosomal RNA is filed under the name Aeromonas caviae. RNAcentral describes it as "partial 23S ribosomal RNA". It matches the Rfam family "Bacterial large subunit ribosomal RNA", at positions 1 to 1680 of the family's 2925-position model. The record is from RNAcentral. Lineage: Bacteria; Pseudomonadati; Pseudomonadota; Gammaproteobacteria; Aeromonadales; Aeromonadaceae.
GUUGUAUGGUUAAGUGACUAAGCGUACAUGGUGGAUGCCUUGGCAGUCAGAGGCGAUGAAGGACGUACUAACCUGCGAUAAGCCGUGAGCAGUCGGUAAGAGACAUUACGACUCACGGAUUUCCGAAUGGGGAAACCCACUUAGCAUAAGCUAGGUAUCGCUACGUGAAUACAUAGCGUAGCGAGGCGAACCGGGAGAACUGAAACAUCUAAGUACCCCGAGGAAAAGAAAUCAACCGAGAUUCCCUCAGUAGCGGCGAGCGAACGGGGAUUAGCCCUUAAGCAUCUUGGAAGUUAGUGGAACGGUCCUGGAAAGGCCGGCGAUACAGGGUGAUAGCCCCGUACACGAAAACAACCUUGAUGUGAAAUCGAGUAGGGCGGGACACGUGACAUCCUGUCUGAAUAUGGGGGGACCAUCCUCCAAGGCUAAAUACUCCUGACUGACCGAUAGUGAACCAGUACCGUGAGGGAAAGGCGAAAAGAACCCCUGUGAGGGGAGUGAAAUAGAACCUGAAACCGUGUACGUACAAGCAGUGGGAGCCCUUCGGGGUGACUGCGUACCUUUUGUAUAAUGGGUCAGCGACUUACAUUUUGUAGCGAGGUUAACCGUAUAGGGGAGCCGUAGGGAAACCGAGUCUUAACUGGGCGUCUAGUUGCAAGGUGUAGACCCGAAACCGGGUGAUCUAGCCAUGGGCAGGUUGAAGGUUGAGUAACAUCAACUGGAGGACCGAACCCACUAACGUUGCAAAGUUAGGGGAUGACCUGUGGCUGGGGGUGAAAGGCCAAUCAAACUCGGAGAUAGCUGGUUCUCCCCGAAAGCUAUUUAGGUAGCGCCUCGGACGAAUACUACUGGGGGUAGAGCACUGUUUGGGCUAGGGGGUCAUCCCGACUUACCAACCCCAUGCAAACUCCGAAUACCAGUAAGUAAUAUCCGGGAGACACACGGCGGGUGCUAACGUCCGUCGUGAAGAGGGAAACAACCCAGACCGCCGGCUAAGGUCCCAAAGUUCUGGUUAAGUGGGAAACGAUGUGGGAAGGCUCAGACAGCUAGGAUGUUGGCUUAGAAGCAGCCAUCAUUUAAAGAAAGCGUAAUAGCUCACUAGUCGAGUCGGCCUGCGCGGAAGAUGUAACGGGGCUCAAACCAGGCACCGAAGCCGCGGAUUCACACUUAUGUGUGAGUGGUAGGGGAGCGUUCUGUAAGUCUGCGAAGGUGUAUCGAGAGGUAUGCUGGAGAUAUCAGAAGUGCGAAUGCUGACGUAAGUAACGAUAAAGGGGGUGAAAAGCCUCCUCGCCGGAAGACCAAGGGUUCCUGUCCAACGUUAAUCGGGGCAGGGUGAGUCGACCCCUAAGGUGAGGCCGAAAGGCGUAAUCGAUGGGAAGCAGGUUAAUAUUCCUGCACGGCUUGUAAUUGCGAUGGGGGGACGGAGAAGGCUAGGUGGGCCAGGCGACGGUUGUCCUGGUGAAAGUGCGUAGGUGGUGUUUCUAGGCAAAUCCGGAGACACAACACUGAGAUACGAGACGAACGCACCACGGUGCGGAAGCCAUUGAUGCCCUGCUUCCAGGAAAAGCCUCUAAGCUUCAGAUUACAAGUCAUCGUACCCCAAACCGACACAGGUGGUCGGGUAGAGAAUA